AGCGAACGUUUGCGGCGGGCUUAACACAUGCAAGUCGAACGGGCUGUUCCUUCGGGGGCAGUCAGUGGCGCACGGGUGCGUAACACGUAGGUAAUCAACCCUCUGGUUGGGGAUAACACUUCGAAAGGAGUGCUAAUACCCGGUAUGGCGCAGCGGUCUUCGGAUCGCGGCGAGAAAGACCCGCAAGGGUUGCCAGAGGACGAGCCUGCGGCCCAUCAGCUAGUUGGCGAGGUAACGGCUCACCAAGGCGAAGACGGGUAGCUAGUCUGAGAGGAUGAUCAGCCACACUGGAACUGAGACGCGGUCCAGACUCCUACGGGAGGCAGCAGUGGGGAAUAUUGCGCAAUGGGCGAAAGCCUGACGCAGCCACGCCGCGUGAGCGAUGAAGGCC
RNAcentral lists this ribosomal RNA (391 nucleotides) under uncultured bacterium. RNAcentral describes it as "bacterial SSU rRNA". It matches the Rfam family "Bacterial small subunit ribosomal RNA", at positions 29 to 416 of the family's 1533-position model. The record is from RNAcentral.